RNAcentral lists this ribosomal RNA (520 nucleotides) under uncultured Glomus. Its description in RNAcentral is "SSU rRNA". It matches the Rfam family "Eukaryotic small subunit ribosomal RNA", at positions 569 to 1094 of the family's 1831-position model. The record is from RNAcentral. Lineage: Eukaryota; Fungi; Glomeromycota; Glomeromycetes; Glomerales; Glomeraceae.
AGCAGCCGCGGUAAUUCCAGCUCCAAUAGCGUAUAUUAAAGUUGUUGCAGUUAAAAAGCUCGUAGUUGAAUUUCGAGACCGGUCUACUGGUCGUGCUUUUGUACGUACUGGUAUAAUCGGUUUCUCUCUUCUGACGAACUAUAAUGCCAUUAAUUUGGUGUUUUAGGGAAUCAGGACUGUUACUUUGAAAAAAUUAGAGUGUUUAAAGCAGGCUCACGCUUGAAUACAUUAGCAUGGAAUAACGAAAUAGGACGUUUGAUUCUAUUUUGUUGGUUUCUAGGAUCGACGUAAUGAUUAAUAGGGAUAGUUGGGGGCAUUAGUAUUCAAUUGUCAGAGGUGAAAUUCUUGGACUUAUUGAAGACUAACUACUGCGAAAGCAUUUGCCGAGGAUGUUUUCACUAACCAAGAACGAAAGUUAGGGGAUCGAAGACGAUCAGAUACCGUCGUAGUCUUAACCAUAAAUUAUGCCGACUAGGGAUCGGAUGAUGUUAAAUUAAUGACUCAUUCGGCACCUUACGGG